Molecule: long non-coding RNA, 811 nt
Filed under: Anser brachyrhynchus (Pink-footed goose)
Lineage: Eukaryota; Metazoa; Chordata; Aves; Anseriformes; Anatidae
Description: lncRNA (ENSABRG00000020363.1)
Source: RNAcentral
AUUUAUCCAGCUGGAAAUUACCCAGGGUGUUUUCGUGGAUCAGUGGGUUGACCAGUUCACAGGCUGCCCAAUGACUCUGGGGUUGGCCAUGAAGUGCGUAGUGGGAGCAGGUGAUCUUCUGCCUCUCGGUGGUGUUCUUCUGUUAGAUCAGGGUUCUUCUUUCUAAAUUUCUUCAAGACCAACAGCAUUCUGCACAUUAUUGCCUAGCAUUUUCCUUCAAACAUUGGACUACUCAGACACUGCACGCAAGAGUUACGUGUGCCACAAACAAAAAGAGCACUCACAAAGCAGGAAAAGUCAACCAGAGCAUCCAGAAGAAAUAGCAGUGGACAAGAUGUUAGCAGAGCGAGAAGUUCAGGAGAACUGGGGGGCAGGCAACAGGAGAAUUAAAGUAUUUCUUCCAUUUCAAAGUUUUGGUGUCUGGUAUAAACCCUGUCCCAGCCACUCUCAGCAAUCUUUAACAGAUGUGCUGUGAAUUGGACAUUUUUGCACCUCCCAUGACUGCUAUAAAUGCCCAAACUCCAAACAGUUACAAUGCAGCAGCGCCUAAGAAGCUACCGCUGUUCCCUAGAAAAAUUAGAAAACAUAAUCUAUUAUCUAUAAUCUAUAAUCUAUAAUACAUAAUCUAUAACAUAAUCUGAAGCUGCAGACACAAGUCCUCUUCCAAGCUCUGUUGCCCUCCCAGCCCAUGCCCAGCUGAUCUCCGUCUUACUGCUCAAGGUUUCUCUCACACACAGCUGUUAGCAAUAUCCCUACAUGAUCACUCCCUGACCUGGCUCUAUCAUAAUGAGCUUGAAUUGCUUAAACUUUU